CCUGGUGGUUGGAGCGUAGUGGUUCGACCUGAUCCCAUCCCGAACUCAGUCGUCAAACACUACAGCGGGGACGAUAAUGAUCGCGCAGGCGAUUGUGAAAAUACCUCACUGCCAGAU
This 117-nucleotide ribosomal RNA is filed under the name Candidatus Daviesbacteria bacterium RIFCSPHIGHO2_01_FULL_38_8. The record is from RNAcentral. Lineage: Bacteria; Candidatus Daviesiibacteriota.